GAUAAACGCUGGCGGCGUGCAUAACACAUGCAAGUCGAACGAUGAAGAUUAAAAGAUUUCUUCGGAAUGAACUUAAUUGGAUUAGUGGCGGACGGGUGAGUAACGCGUGAGUAACCUGCCUUGUACAAGGGGAUAGCCGUUGGAAACGACGAAUAAUACCCUAUGACAUCAACUAAUCGCAUGAUAAUUUGCUCAAAGAUUUAUCGGUAUAAGAUGGACUCGCGUCUGAUUAGCUAGUUGGUAGAGUAAAAGCCUACCAAGGCAACGAUCAGUAGCCGGCUUGAGAGAGUGUACGGCCACAUUGGGACUGAGACACGGCCCAGACUCCUACGGGAGGCAGCAGUGGGGAAUUUUGCACAAUGGGGGAAACCCUGAUGCAGCGACGCCGCGUGAUUUAGAAGGCCUUCGGGUUGUAAAAAUCUUUUGUAUGGGAAGAAAAUGACAGUACCAUACGAAUAAGGACCGGCUAAUUACGUG
Molecule: ribosomal RNA, 477 nt
Filed under: uncultured bacterium
Lineage: Bacteria
Description: partial 16S ribosomal RNA
Rfam family: Bacterial small subunit ribosomal RNA
Source: RNAcentral